This 24-nucleotide non-coding RNA is filed under the name Arabidopsis thaliana (thale cress). Lineage: Eukaryota; Viridiplantae; Streptophyta; Magnoliopsida; Brassicales; Brassicaceae. The record is from RNAcentral.
CAGGGAGGGGUUGGUCACGACAAC